AUCUAGCUGACGAGUCUCAAAUAGGACGAAACACAUGUCAAUCUGGAU
This 48-nucleotide non-coding RNA is filed under the name Schistosoma mattheei. Lineage: Eukaryota; Metazoa; Platyhelminthes; Trematoda; Strigeidida; Schistosomatidae. The record is from RNAcentral.